GACGAACGCUGGCGGCGUGCUUAACACAUGCAAGUCGAGCGGUAAGGCCCUUUCGGGGGUACACGAGCGGCGAACGGGUGAGUAACACGUGGGUGACCUGCCCUCAGCUCUGGGAUAAGCCUGGGAAACCGGGUCUAAUACUGGAUAUGACUCCAUGACGCAUGUUGUGGAGUGGAAAGCCUUGUGCGGCUGAGGAUGGGCCCGCGGCCUAUCAGCUUGUUGGUGGGGGAUGGCCUACCAAGGCGACGACGGGUAGCCGGCCUGAGAGGGCGACCGGCCACACUGGGACUGAGACACGGCCCAGACUCCUACGGGAGGCAGCAGUGGGGAAUCUUGCGCAAUGGGCGAAAGCCUGACGCAGCGACGCCGCGUGAGGGAUGACGGCCUGGUGU
RNAcentral lists this ribosomal RNA (392 nucleotides) under uncultured bacterium. RNAcentral's name for it is "bacterial SSU rRNA". It matches the Rfam family "Bacterial small subunit ribosomal RNA", at positions 28 to 422 of the family's 1533-position model. The record is from RNAcentral.